GACGAACGCUGGCGGCGUGCCUAAUACAUGCAAGUUGAGCGAUGAAGCUUGGUGCUUGCACCCAUUUGAAGAGCAGCGAACGGGUGAGUAACGCGUGGGGAAUCUGCCUUUGAGCGGGGGACAACAUUUGGAAACGAAUGCUAAUACCGCAUAACAACUUUAAACAUAAGUUUUAAGUUUGAAAGAUGCAAUUGCAUCACUCAAAGAUGAUCCCGCGUUGUAUUAGCUAGUUGGUGAGGUAAAGGCUCACCAAGGCGAUGAUACAUAGCCGACCUGAGAGGGUGAUCGGCCACAUUGGGACUGAGACACGGCCCAAACGCCUACGGGAGGCAGCAGUAGGGAAUCUUCGGCAAUGGACGAAAGUCUGACCGAGCAACGCCGCGUGAGUGAAGAAGGGUGUCGGAUCGUAAAACUCUGUUGGUAGAGAAGAACGUUGGUGAGAGUGGAAAGCUCAUCAAGUAACGGUAACUACCCAGAAAGGGACGGCUAACUACGUG
Molecule: ribosomal RNA, 497 nt
Filed under: uncultured bacterium
Lineage: Bacteria
Description: partial 16S ribosomal RNA
Rfam family: Bacterial small subunit ribosomal RNA
Source: RNAcentral